AAGACCCCAUAUAUAACAAAUAACAAAACAGACCUCCAUGUUACUGGUUAGUUCCCUCACUCAGAAUCUUUGCGGGGAGCUCAGGAGCGGGAGCCGUUGUGCUUUCCCUCUUCUUUUGCAGAAGAGGGAGGGCUUCCCUCGGAGCUCUCUUCGAAAUUAGCAGUCCUCGACCUGCCAUGUCUGGACCGGAUGUUGUCCCCCAUAGGGAAGGGUUCCUG
This 218-nucleotide unclassified non-coding RNA is filed under the name Hevea brasiliensis (rubber tree). Lineage: Eukaryota; Viridiplantae; Streptophyta; Magnoliopsida; Malpighiales; Euphorbiaceae. The record is from RNAcentral.